This is a non-coding RNA of Cordylochernes scorpioides, 5005 nucleotides long. The record is from the annotation of a GenBank genome assembly. NCBI's taxonomy places the organism in Eukaryota, Metazoa, Arthropoda, Arachnida, Pseudoscorpiones, Chernetidae.
CUCCUGUAUCAAAGUGUGGGUUCUUAUGUUUGUUAUCAUAUUUAAUUUUCUCUUUGUCGUGCCUGUCAUUUGUACGUUGUAUUGCUAGUUUUCUACUUUCUAUUAUAUUGGGGUAGGGGUUUAUGUGGUUAUUUAAGUCUGAGGGGAUUAUAUUAUACAUUAAAAAUAUGGGGGGAAAUCCAGUUAUCGUAUGGGGGGUAUCGUUAUAUUUAUUAGUUACUAUCUUAAUUAACUUAGUCCAGGAGGUUCCUGGAUUCUCUAAGUUCAGUAACCUCAGCUUCCCGGUGAGUGUCGCGUUAAGACGCUCACAUAAUCCGUUAGCUUGAGGGUUAUUUGCAGUGAUUAGUAGAGGCUGUAUCCCGUUCUUUAUUAAGAAUCUCCUGAACUUUGGGGAAGUAAAUGCAGGUGCCCGAUCCGAAAGAAGGCGUUUUGGGCGGCCACACUGCAAUACCUUUUUGAGGCACUGAAUGUAUGUGAUUAUACUAGUUGACUUACUGGGGAAGGUCCAUGUAUACCGACUUAGGUGAUCUACAAUUACGUGUAAGUAUGACUUAUAAUUACCGUAUUUAGAAAAACCUGAAAUAGUGUCUAUAGAUAACAUAUCGUAGGGUUGUAAAACUAUAGGGGGGCGUUCUAAUCUACCAUAUAAUGGACCUUUCGGUUUCUUUAUAAGUUGGCAUGUGGGACAGGACCUAUUAUACUUAACUAUAGAUUUGGUCAUUCCACACCAAGUAUACUGUGUGGAGAUGAGCCUAAUCAUUUGGGAUACACCAGGAUGGUUAUACUCUAAAUGUACUUUAUUAAUUAGCGUAUGUGGUAAGGGAGGUGGAACUAUAAUCUUGACAAUACCUUUACGUUUGAUUGUAUGGAGGCCAUCUAUAUUCGUUUUGAUAAGUGUAGAUGGAGAUAAUUGGGGUUGCUUUUCUAUUAUUUGGGUGGUGGUGAGAAAACCACAUAAAGGAUUGCGGGACAGUAGGUCUGCUUCGUACUGCGUUUUACCUUUUAUAUAUUUUAUAUCGUAUUCGUAUGCGGACAUCUUUAAGCUCCACCUAAAAAGUCUACCCGUUGGGUUUUUUUCAAUGGUUUUUAACCAUUGUAAUGCAUGGUGGUCCGUAAAAAUUGUGAACCUUACACCCGCGAGAUAGAUGCGGAACUUUUCCACACUAUCUAUCACAGCAAGGCAUUCCAACUCUGUGAUGGUGUAAUUUUUCUCGUGGGGUCGGAGUGCUCUGCUGUAAUAUUGCACGGGGUGUAGGAUGCCGUCUGGAUGUUGUUGUUUUAGGAUGCCAGCUAUUCCCUGAAGUGAGGCAUCACAGAAUAGCCAACAGGGUAACCCUUCUUUAAAGAGGUGUAGUACCGGUUUUGUGGUCAGACAUUCUUUUAGAGUGUCAAAUGAAUGUUGGCAUUCUGCAUCCCAGUGCCAUGGGGUAUCUUUCUUAAGUAGAUUAUUGAGGGGGUUCCUAAUGCGGGCGUGAUCUUUUAUAAAUUUAUUAUAUACAUUAAUGGAGCCUAAGAAUGAUUGGAGGGAUUUAACGCUAGUGGGGACCUUAAUGGCAUUAAUUACAUCUAAAUUUUGUACUAAUGGAGUGAAUGUGCCUGAUGAUAUGGUAUAGCCUAAAAAUUCUAUUGUAGUUUUAAAGAAGUCACACUUAUUACAAUUUAACCUAAAAUUUUCCCUAUUACACAUAUCAAAAAAUUGCUGUAAGUGCUCUAAAUGUUCUUCUAUGGAAUUUGAAAAGAUAAUGAAAUCGUCGAAAUAAUGUGCUAUAAAACCUAACCUAUUUCUUUUAAUCCCGUAUGGUAAUCUUUCGAAAUUAUAUUGACCCUCUAACGUGACAAAAGAUAAUAAAUUUCUAUCAGGGGGACUUAUUUCGAUGGACCAGUAUGCUGAUGAAAAAUAGGCGCGGGAGUAAAUUUUGGCGUUGGCUAAUUUAUCUAAGAUAUUCUCUAUGAGCGGAAGGGGGUGAACAUCGGGGAAAAUUAUUUCAUUCAGGCGGCGGUAGUCUACGCAAAAUCGUUUUGUCUUAUCCUUUUGGGUAACUAAAGUAACGGGGGCUGAAUAGGGGGAGAAAGAAGGCUCUAUAAUAUCAUAUUCUAGCAUUUUCCCUACUUGUUCUUGUAUUUCACGUUGAUCUGAAAGAGAUGUUCGAUACGGUCUGAGUGCAAUUAUUUUAUCUUAAUUUGUCCUAAUAUUGAUAGGGGGAAUUUUCAAUUUUGGGAUGUUAUAUUUGUUAGUAGAAAAAAUAUUUGAGUAAUUCUUAAUAAUAUUCAUAAAAGUUAAAGGGAUAUCAUUCCUAACACAUAAAUUACAAGAAUCAUUAAAAAUUUUACAUUGAUGUUCCGAGGGAUAUAGUGGGGGUAAUAAAUAUAAAUGGGGAAAAUGAGCUAAAGUUUGGCUGGGUGCAUUUUUGUCACAAUUGGUAGAGGUCUUGGUCAAGGUAAUGGGACAUGGUAUAGGAUGGACAUUUUCCCCUUGCAAUAAUGGAGAAUGUGAGUUAGGCAUGUUUUUUAAAAGACCCACAUUGGGCGGGUUACAUGGGAUUACAUAGGUUAUAUGGUACCAUUUCUUAGACAAAGGAGCAUCACAUUGAUAAAUAGAAUGAUUAUAUAAAUUUAAGGUCAAACAAAAUUGACUAAUGGAAUUUAAUGAUAGUAUACCAAAAGGUAAUAAAAAUGAUCUAUUAUAUAAAAUUUAAUUGAUUUUGUUAUUUUUCCUAUGGUAGUGGUCAAAAAUGUAUAUCCUAUCGAAUUUAUUUGAGUAGAUAUGGAAUUGAUUAAUAUAUGGCAUGGAUAUAAUUUUAAAGGAUUAGAUAAGUUUUUACUAAGAUGAUUAAAAUAUUUAAAUUAAUUAUGUUAAUAGAGGCUCCUGUGUCUAAGAGGAACGGGCAAUAAAAAUUAUUAAAAAAUUUAGGUUUACAUAGAAUAUUGGAUAGUUUAGGGACGAAAAUUGAGGGUUUCGUUGCCUUGUGAGGUGCGAGAAGACCUGGGGGCCGGCACGGGAAGGUUGUGGGCGCCAUUUUGUUCCGGUGGGAAAUAAUGCGCAGUAGGUUGGCCGUGGUAGGCCUGUUGCCUGUAGGGUCGUCUGUUCAUGGAACAUUCACUGUUCCAGUGAUCACCUUGGCAGUAUUUGCAUGGCGAGGGUGGUCUCCUGGCACCAGAAGGGUAUCUUGGAGUAUUGUUUGUUGAGAAAGGAUUGUAGUUCCUUCCCCUAGAAGGAGUUCCGGAAUCACGGUGAAAGGCACUGGUGUUGGUAACACCUUGAAAUGGUUCGGAUGGAGUAGGGAAUGAAUUGGUCCCUUUUAUUCUAGUCAUGGUAGAGUACCAUUCGGUCAGGGUUUUAGGGGCUAUGGCCCUCAUGAGGCGCUGAUCACUGGCCUGGAGGCCUUCCGUUAAUGCUUCCACUAUGAUAGGAUUGGUUAGGCCCAGUUGUAAUCCCAUAGUUAUUUUUUGGCGGUAAUAGUCUCCUAAUUGGAUCUGACUAGUUAAUUUAAAAGUUAAAAAUUUGGUGAAAGUGACCUCGGAUUUUCCGGGGUAGAGGUCCAUGAGAGUUUGUUUUGCCUGACUGUAUGGCAGAGAGGCCAGAUUCAGUUUGUUGUAGAGGGAGAGGGGCUCACCUUUGAGUAGCGUGCGGAGCCGGGCUUGCAGGGUGGCGUCAUCUUGCGGUCUCUCGCUCGUCCGCUCGAGUUGCUGGAUGAAGUUGCUUGCUGCGUAGGAUCCGUCGAAAGGAGAGAUGAGGGCUUCCUCCGCACAAGGCACGGCUAUUCCCCGAAUGGCGUCUGUUAGGCGGCUUACUAGGUCUUCGCAGUGGGGUUGCAUGUUUGUGAGGGCAUCCGCGAAGUAUUCGUCUCUGACCUCCGUCAUCCUCUGCAUGCUGCUGUCCUCAGUUAUCCUGUCGACUUAAACGGGUUCUGUAGUAACCCCGACCAAGCCGACGUGGAAUAUACUGGGCAGUCGUGGUCGUGGGUGCGUGAUGGGAUUCCCGCACGGGGACAGCAAGGGACAGAGGCAGGUCUAGAUGGUAGCUCCAAGAGGUAGAGAUAGACCACGGACGAAGGCAGUCGGACCACGGGCGCCGCGGAUGCCCUAAGCCUACUCGCGGAUAGAAGAAGGGGUGAGAGAUCCGACCGACCGUAUAACGGCGUCACUCUGAAAACAACUCCUUUGUCUCAUUUUCUGGGCCCUUUUAUACUGGACCCCCGCAUAUGGCGGUGAGUCCUGAUUGGCUCCUGUAAUCACGCCACCUUCUGGCGCCGUUGGUCGUUGUCGCCGUCUGGUCUACCUUUGCCUCUUUGUUUAUUUGUUACAUCCAUUUCCACAAGGUCGAUACAUAUUUUUAUAUAGAUAUGGGGUUAUAAUAAAUACCAGAAGAAGGUUGUGAACUAUCUAACUCAAAAUAUACUACAUAUAUAUUUUUAGAAUUUAUUUUUGGAACACAAAUGUAUUUUUAGUUCCACCUUUUGCUACGAGGGGCGCUGUUUGCCAGGCCGUUAUGCACCGUUUUAAACGUGAAUUUUUUUUUAAAUUCGUUUUUAAUAUACAUAUUUAUUUUAUAUAUAAAUAUAUAUAUGUAUUUAUUUGUUAUUUUUAUUACAAAAUUAUAUUAAUAUUUGAGCAUCAAAUAUAUAUAUAUAGAAUAUAUUUUUUGAAACAUAAAUGUUUUUAAUUUCACUUGUUUCCGCGGGCUAGAUUGGAUAGUAGAUCAAAAAUUUUGUAAACAAAAUUUCAAUGAAAUGUGAAACUAGAAAAUAAUUAGCCUGAUACCAUUCCAAAAUGUCAAGAGAGUUUACAUUGAAAAUUUGAUAUUUGAAUCAGUAGUUUGUGUGGGAGUUUAUAGAUAAAUAGAAAGAAAAAUUCUCCGAUUUUUUAUAUAUAACAUAUAAAUAUAUAGAUGGAAAUUUUUCCGGGAGGAUAUUGAUCUAAAGAGACAAGGGUCGCCUCUCCCGUCAAAAUAGAUGGGGUCUGGUUUUGACGUCUAUUUUGACGGGAGAAGCGACCCUUGUCUCUU